GAUGGAGGAUGGAGUAUGGCGCACUCAAGCGACGGACAGCAGUAGCCGUUUCGGCCCCUGAUAACGAUGGAUGAUGACUGGGACAUGGACUGGGUCUAAAUGGAACACUGUCCCGGGGCUCUGACCGGGGCGAAGCGACGCGACCACCGAUCGGAGGAUCAGCAUCUGGCUGGAUGGCUUCUAAUGCCUCUUUCAAAUGUGCCGCACUUCCUACGGGCUAUGCUCUGCUCCGCUCCGCUCAGCUCUUCUCCUGCUCCUUCACUAUUAAUUAGAAUGUAUGGCCGUUGCCUCUGUGCCCCAGCCCCUGCCCCUGCCUCCUUCCCCGCUCCCCUAUACUUUUUGGCAUUUCAGAGUUAACGGCACGCGACAUUUUAAAUAUGUAUGAUGCCCUCCAUCCAUCGCGCUGGGCUCCUGUUUGGGGUUCUCGGACUGCCUGACACUCGCCUCGUUUGCACCAGCGCAGAGGACUACGACUACCCUGAAGCAGCUGUUGAAAUUGAUGCCUGCCCUGGCGUUCGGCAUUUGUGUCGAAUAUGCAGCACGGACGGGCAUGGGAUGCGGAUACUCGAGUACUCCUGGGCUUGUUAAGAUAAUGAACACUAUAGCUGGACUGCCCCCGAAUCUGGGAUACCCUAGCCAUCGCUUGUCAAAUCUAAUGGAUGCCCAGAAUACGAUUAAACGGAAUAAUCUUCAAGCUGAUUUUCGCAUUAUACAGAUUCUUAAUAAAAGAAAUAGAAAUACUAUGCUAUUGAAUCUAUAGCAUCUACAUAUACUCUCAUUAUAGAUAUACGAUUUACUCCUAAACCAUGCAGAUGAAAAUCCUUGUAGCAAUAUCCUUUUCUCGCAUUCUGAAAGUUUGAAUAAAUGCCGCCCAUUGAAUGU
This is a long non-coding RNA of Drosophila pseudoobscura, 882 nucleotides long. RefSeq lists it as uncharacterized. The record is from RefSeq and is a predicted model, not a curated record. The transcript has 3 exons. NCBI's taxonomy places the organism in Eukaryota, Metazoa, Arthropoda, Insecta, Diptera, Drosophilidae.